This 65-nucleotide transfer RNA is filed under the name Cucujus clavipes (red flat bark beetle). RNAcentral's name for it is "tRNA-Arg". The record is from RNAcentral. Lineage: Eukaryota; Metazoa; Arthropoda; Insecta; Coleoptera; Cucujidae.
AAAUAAGAAGUAAAAUAUUACAGUUAGUUUCGACCUAACCUCUUGGUACCCAAUACCCUUAUUUU